GACGUAGGUGGCGAACGUUAUCCGGAAUUAUUGGGCGUAAAGGGUGCGUAGGUGGCCUGACAAGUUAUCAGUGGCAAAUCGAGGCUCAACCUCGUGGAAACUGGUAAUACUGUCCGGCUUGAGUACAGGAGAGGUUAACGGAACUCUAUGUGGAGCGGUAAAAUGCACAGAUAUAUAGAAGAACAUCAAUAAAGGCGAAGGCAGUUAACUAUUCUGUUACUGACGCUGAGGCACGAAAGCGUGGGGAGCAAACAGG
RNAcentral lists this ribosomal RNA (256 nucleotides) under uncultured bacterium. RNAcentral describes it as "partial 16S ribosomal RNA". It matches the Rfam family "Bacterial small subunit ribosomal RNA", at positions 524 to 776 of the family's 1533-position model. The record is from RNAcentral.